Molecule: transfer RNA, 358 nt
Filed under: uncultured Microcystis sp.
Lineage: Bacteria; Bacillati; Cyanobacteriota; Cyanophyceae; Chroococcales; Microcystaceae
Description: partial 16S-23S ribosomal RNA intergenic spacer
Rfam family: tRNA (bases 133-206)
Source: RNAcentral
AAGGGAGACCUAAUUCGGGUAGGAGACGAGAAAAAAGUAGUCCCUACCAAGAAUCAAUCCCAAAAGGUCGGAACGAGGUAUGAGGCUUUCAAACUAGGUUCUGGGUUCAUAAAAGACCUGAAUCAGGAACAAGGGCUAUUAGCUCAGGUGGUUAGAGCGCACCCCUGAUAAGGGUGAGGUCCCUGGUUCGAGUCCAGGAUGGCCCACCUGCACAGGUGGCAAAAACAAGAGAAGCUCCGAAUCAGCACCUUAUCUUAUAUACAUAUAUAAGAGAGAAUGCUGGCUCUGAGUAAAGAGUCCAGAGGAACCUUGAAAACUGCAUAGAGCUAGGUGAAAAAGCCAAAAAAGAAGACCGCAA